Molecule: long non-coding RNA, 1182 nt
Organism: Scylla paramamosain (green mud crab)
Lineage: Eukaryota; Metazoa; Arthropoda; Malacostraca; Decapoda; Portunidae
Exons: 2
Source: RefSeq, a predicted model, not a curated record
AUCUCCCAUAAAAAAAAAAGUUUGUGGUCUUUUGACUUGAAGUUUUGGAUUAAGUUUUUAAUGAUUAUCCUUAUUUUGUUUCCAAGGAGCAAGGAAACAUGGACCUUCUCUGUGUCUUUACUGAAACAUUACUGGUCCAAGGUUUUGGUGGGCCUGUUCCAUGUAGCUGCCUUGUGCUGCCCAACAUGUUGUACGUCAUACAUUUUAGAUAAACUACUGUUAUUUUCCAGGUCACAGUGUUUUCUCUACACCACACUCUAUGUGCAGGGCUCAUGUUGAUCUCUUUGGAGGUCAACCUUUGGGGAUAUUUAAGAAAAGGGAAGAAGAUACCCAUGGACCUGCUGCUCCAAUAUCAGUGUUGCCCACAUGGGAGAGAUUGUACCUACAUGAGCUGGAGCAGAGUAUGCAGCAUCCUCCUAGUAAUGCCUUUGUGGAGAUGAUACAGUGGACUUAGCAAGGCAAGCUGUGGACCUUCCCCAUUGAUAAUGAAGCAGGUUUGGUGGAGGAAAUGAAAGUGGGAUUCCAUGAGCAUGUCUUCCUUGAGAGACACUUGGAAGGAUGGUGCCCAAAACGUGGCCCCAUCAGACACUUCAUGGAGCUGGUUUGCACUGGACUCUCAAAGAAUCCUCAUCUAACUGUGGAGCGAAAAGAAGCACAUAUUGAAUGGUACAAGAACUACUUCAACCAAAAAGAGAAUUUGCUUAAAGAGUUGGGAGCUAUAGAGGUUUCUAUAAUUACAAUUGGACAAUGCUGAGUAUUUCAAGGCAAGUUGCCAUUCAUGUUUCUCUUUGUAGAAUUUUAUUAUUGUAAAUUUCAGGUUUUAUGCACAAUGGAUGCAUGCAGUAUUUGCUGGUGGAUUAGAUACACCUCCACAUCACACCCAUAUUUUAUAAGGAGAUUUUGAAAAAGAGAAAAUUUAUUGUGUUUUGAGAGGGGGAGGGGGGAAUUCAUCAUCUGACACAAAUGAUUGCUUUGCCACAACAGAACCAAGUCUUUGAUAAAUAGUGUUCAGCGGACUACUUCUGAACACAGAUCACCCCAUAUCCCCUUAACCAUAUUUCACUACCUCUUCUGUGUUCUGUAUUAGAUGCAGGGUAUUUUUUAUUUAUUUUUUUCCCAUCUAAUCCACUAGAAAAUACAGCAGAUGCCUGAAGACCUUGUAAAUAAUCAGAAUAUUUGAUA